CCUACGGGGGGCUGCAGUGGGGAAUUUUCCGCAAUGGGCGAAAGCCUGACGGAGCAACGCCGCGUGAGGGAGGAAGGUCUUUGGAUUGUAAACCUCUUUUCUCAAGGAAGAAGUUCUGACGGUACUUGAGGAAUCAGCCUCGGCUAACUCCGUGCCAGCAGCCGCGGUAAUACGGGGGAGGCAAGCGUUAUCCGGAAUUAUUGGGCGUAAAGCGUCCGCAGGUGGUCGGCCAAGUCUGCUGUCAAAUCAGGUUGCUUAACGACCUAAAGGCGGUGGAAACUGGCAGACUAGAGAGCAGUAGGGGUAGCAGGAAUUCCCAGUGUAGCGGUGAAAUGCGUAGAGAUUGGGAAGAACAUCGGUGGCGAAAGCGUGCUACUGGGCUGUAUCUGACACUCAGGGACGAAAGCUAGGGGAGCGAAAGGGAUUA
Molecule: ribosomal RNA, 427 nt
Filed under: uncultured bacterium
Lineage: Bacteria
Description: bacterial SSU rRNA
Rfam family: Bacterial small subunit ribosomal RNA
Source: RNAcentral